This is a long non-coding RNA of Pan troglodytes (chimpanzee), 1134 nucleotides long. RefSeq lists it as uncharacterized. Lineage: Eukaryota; Metazoa; Chordata; Mammalia; Primates; Hominidae. The transcript is spliced from 4 exons. The record is from RefSeq and is a predicted model, not a curated record.
ACAUCUUUCUUGAUUUGCUCUUUCUUUCAUAUCUUCAAUUUAUACUUAGAUCUCAUCUAAUUCCUCUAAAAUUUAAAUGUCCAAUUUCUCUCCCUUUUAUGGUUCAUUCCCUGGUCAUGCAUCCCCUCUUACAGUCCCUAUAAGCUGGAAGUUCAUCAAUAAUCAUAUUCCCCUUUCCUUGCCAAGCAGAUUUUCCAGCUGGAAGCUGUCAGGUAGGUAUUGCUAGGAACUCAAAGGUAAGUCUAGUCUAUUUAUCACAGCAUCUCCCCAAAAUUUAUACAUUUCUUCUUCUUCUGAGACUAUCUAUCUUUGCUGCUUUCAUACUUAAUAUUACAAAGCUAAGUUUAUAAUAUAUACAAGGUUUUAAACUAUAUAUUUUAACAAGUUAUUUUGGAAUCAAGAUAUAAACUAGUUUCAGCAUAUAAAAAUGCAGAAAAAUUUCUUUGUGGGGGCAUGGUUGGAUUUAAUUAAUCUAUAAAUUCAUUGAAAUAAGUUAGCCAAUCUACAACGAAUCAUAUACAAAUGCUAACGAAUGAAAAAGCAGGUCACAAAUUUUUCUUUCUCAUUCAUUCACAUUCAAAAGAUAUUUAUUGAGUGUCUAUUACAUGCCAGACACUGUCCUAGACACAAGGGAUACGAUGUGAACAAGACAAAUAACAUCAUCUUAGAGUGGACAAACAGAAAAUAAACCAGACGGAAGUGAGUUCUAUAAAGAAAACACAACAUGGCAAUCUGAUGGAGAGAUAUAAGAAGUGAAUGACGCAGCUACUUUAAAUAGAGUGCAGUGAAUUGAAAUUAAGAAAACAUACGGACAAAGAACAAAGCUAAAAUAAGUAUUUUCAUCUUCCAACAUGAAAUCAGCAGCUAUGAGAAUUUUUGAAAACUGCAUUUGCACUCGAAACUCUAGUGGCUUCAGAGUUAAAGAAAGCAUGCUGAGAGGUCUAUCAAUGCAAAGGGUCAUCUAUGAAAUCUCCACCUAGAUCUAAGGACCACUGGGCAAACAGCAUGGUGCUAAAUAUAACCAGCUAUUUUCCCCAUGAAGCAUAUCAGGACUCCAAAAAUCUCUGGCAUCCACUCUUUCCUGACAUAGAUCAUGUGGCUUAGGGGAAAACUAACAUCACACACAGCUUCAAG